Molecule: ribosomal RNA, 301 nt
Filed under: uncultured bacterium
Lineage: Bacteria
Description: partial 16S ribosomal RNA
Rfam family: Bacterial small subunit ribosomal RNA
Source: RNAcentral
CAGUCGCCGCGGUAAUACGAAGGGGGCUAGCGUUGCUCGGAAUCACUGGGCGUAAAGGGUGCGUAGGCGGGUUUUUAAGUCAGGGGUGAAAUCCUGGAGCUCAACUCCAGAACUGCCCUUGAUACUGGGAAUCUUGAGUAUGGGAGAGGUGAGUGGAACUGCGAGUGUAGAGGUGAAAUUCGUAGAUAUUCGCAAGAACACCAGUGGCGAAGGCGGCUCACUGGCCCAUAACUGACGCUGAGGCACGAAAGCGUGGGGAGCAAACAGGAUUAGAGACCCCAGUAGUCCCUGUCUCUUAUAC